Molecule: ribosomal RNA, 497 nt
Filed under: uncultured bacterium
Lineage: Bacteria
Description: partial 16S ribosomal RNA
Rfam family: Bacterial small subunit ribosomal RNA
Source: RNAcentral
GACGAACGCUGGCGGCGUGCCUAAUACAUGCAAGUUGAGCGAUGAAGAUUGGUGCUUGCACCAAUUUGAAGAGCAGCGAACGGGUGAGUAACGCGUGGGGAAUCUGCCUUUGAGCGGGGGACAACAUUUGGAAACGAAUGCUAAUACCGCAUAACAACUUUAAACAUAAGUUUUAAGUUUGAAAGAUGCAAUUGCAUCACUCAAAGAUGAUCCCGCGUUGUAUUAGCUAGUUGGUGAGGUAAAGGCUCACCAAGGCGAUGAUACAUAGCCGACCUGAGAGGGUGAUCGGCCACAUUGGGACUGAGACACGGCCCAAACUCCUACGGGAGGCAGCAGUAGGGAAUCUUCGGCAAUGGACGAAAGUCUGACCGAGCAACGCCGCGAGAGUGAAGAAGGUUUUCGGAUCGUAAAACUCUGUUGGUAGAGAAGAACGUUGGUGAGAGUGGAAAGCUCAUCAAGUGACGGUAACUACCCAGAAAGGGACGGCUAACUACGUG